Molecule: ribosomal RNA, 409 nt
Filed under: uncultured bacterium
Lineage: Bacteria
Description: bacterial SSU rRNA
Rfam family: Bacterial small subunit ribosomal RNA
Source: RNAcentral
GUGGGGGAUAUUGCACAAUGGGGGAAACCCUGAUGCAGCAACGCCGCGUGAAGGAUGAAGGUCUUCGGAUUGUAAACUUUUGUCCUAUGGGAAGAAGAAAGUGACGGUACCAUAGGAGGAAGCUCCGGCUAACUACGUGCCAGCAGCCGCGGUAAUACGUAGGGAGCAAGCGUUGUCCGGAUUUACUGGGUGUAAAGGGUGCGUAGGCGGAAGAGCAAGUCAGUAGUGAAAUCUGGGGGCUUAACCCCCAAACUGCUAUUGAAACUGUUCUUCUUGAGUGGAGUAGAGGUAGGCGGAAUUCCCGGUGUAGCGGUGAAAUGCGUAGAGAUCGGGAGGAACACCAGUGGCGAAGGCGGCCUACUGGGCUCUAACUGACGCUGAGGCACGAAAGUGUGGGUAGCAAACAGGA